Molecule: long non-coding RNA, 624 nt
Organism: Nymphaea colorata (pocket water lily)
Lineage: Eukaryota; Viridiplantae; Streptophyta; Magnoliopsida; Nymphaeales; Nymphaeaceae
Exons: 3
Source: RefSeq, a predicted model, not a curated record
AUAUCAGAACUUCGUAUGUGGGAGUCGCAUAGAUCGAAAGGGCCGAGAGGUCCUCCAACCGUUCUUCGGAACCUGCACGCGGCAUCCUUGGGAAGCCCAUGUGAAUCCAAGGACAGAUGUUCUUGGCUUAUUUCCCACUAAAAUCGGUCGAAUCCGCUCACCCUCUUUCAGGCAAACCAACGGCGCUGACCGCUCGGGAAGAUCCAUCGGACAAAUGACACUCUGCAGAGCCCGUCCGUGAAUGAAAUGUAAAUUCACACUUAACGGGGAUGGGCAUCAUCCUCAGCCGAUUGAUGGCUGACUGUUUCAUCAGCACUUAUACUUUACAUACAACACACAAUUGGGCCACCUUUUCCCAUGGGCUCUGGAAGACAUUUGCUUUGAUCAUCUCAUAAUUCAUGAUCCCCACAGGUAGGCCACUGACCUGUCUAUGACUUGCAUCUCUGAAGACUUUGGUGUGCUCGCUUCCUGUAUGGAUCAAUUAUUUUCUUUUAAUAUCUAAACUUAUUUUUGUGUCUUCAAAUAAUCUGAUACGCAUACAUUCCUGAAAGUAUUGGGGUAUUUCCUAUUUGACGUUUUGUUCUCUGUUAUUCGAACUUCAUUACAUUGUCAUGCUUAAGCUAA